Molecule: ribosomal RNA, 384 nt
Filed under: Lihuaxuella thermophila
Lineage: Bacteria; Bacillati; Bacillota; Bacilli; Caryophanales; Thermoactinomycetaceae
Description: bacterial LSU rRNA
Rfam family: Bacterial large subunit ribosomal RNA
Source: RNAcentral
GCAGGUUAAGCUACUAAGGGCACACGGGGGAUGCCUUGGCGCCAGGAGCCGAUGAAGGACGGGGCGAACACCGAUAUGCCUCGGGGAGCUGUAAGCGAGCGUUGAUCCGGGGAUUUCCGAAUGGGGCAACCCACCAGCUGGAAGAGCUGGUACCGCCGCCUGAAUCCAUAGGGCGGACGGAGGCACACCAGGGGAACUGAAACAUCUUAGUACCCUGAGGAAGAGAAAGCAAACGCGAUUCCCUGAGUAGCGGCGAGCGAAACGGGAACAGCCCAAACCGGCAGGCAUUGCCUGCCGGGGUUGUAGGGCGUCUCACAUGGAGUGACAAAGGGAAGGGAUAGGCGAAGUGGUCCUGGAAAGGCCCGCCAUAGAGAGUAACAGCCU